CCUGCCCGUGACUCCCUUGUGUGUAUUCUAGAGUGAUUUUCUUCCGGGUUUCCCUUGUGUCCUUUUGAUUUCAGACUGUGGUAAUACGUUCUGGUGGAGUCAUCCCUUCGAAGAUUCACAAAAACUCACAGAGAGAGAGACCAUUUUAAGCCUUCACGUCAACAGACCCACGUCUGACUAGGAUUAAACUCUAGUAGGCAAAUGUCAGCUGAGAGGAGGAGCAGGAGAGCAGGGCCAACCAAACCUUGGGGUGGGGUUAACUCCCCACAUGACAUCAUGAUGGGAAAAUCCAAGAACAGCUUGUUACAGCACACAUGUUCUAAAAGGUGGAGAAAAAGAG
Cheilinus undulatus (humphead wrasse) is the source of this 340-nucleotide long non-coding RNA. RefSeq lists it as uncharacterized. The transcript has 3 exons. The record is from RefSeq and is a predicted model, not a curated record. NCBI's taxonomy places the organism in Eukaryota, Metazoa, Chordata, Actinopteri, Labriformes, Labridae.